CCUCUUUUUCUUUUCUUUCUUUUCGUGGCUUUGGCUACCACGGCCGAUCACCGACUUUAUCAGAAAUCCACCAUGAAGGAUCCCCUAUUUUCAUGCUUUUUUCAUGAUUUUUUUGACCAGCCAUCCACCACUAUCGAUUGUCGGCAACCUGCUAUCGCCACCCAUUAUCGGACUUUCGACUAUGAGCCAUCAGCCCCUUCCUCCCC
This 206-nucleotide long non-coding RNA is filed under the name Elaeis guineensis (African oil palm). RNAcentral describes it as "long non-coding RNA (EGUI_LNC006751)". Lineage: Eukaryota; Viridiplantae; Streptophyta; Magnoliopsida; Arecales; Arecaceae. The record is from RNAcentral.